This 468-nucleotide ribosomal RNA is filed under the name uncultured bacterium. Its description in RNAcentral is "partial 16S ribosomal RNA". It matches the Rfam family "Bacterial small subunit ribosomal RNA", at positions 28 to 507 of the family's 1533-position model. The record is from RNAcentral.
GACGAACGCUGGCGGCGUGCUUAACACAUGCAAGUCGAACGGAAAGGCCCUGCUUUUGUGGGGUGCUCGAGUGGCGAACGGGUGAGUAACACGUGAGUAACCUGCCCUUGACUUUGGGAUAACUUCAGGAAACUGGGGCUAAUACCGGAUAGGAGCUCCUGCUGCAUGGUGGGGGUUGGAAAGUUUCGGCAGUUGGGGAUGGACUCGCGGCUUAUCAGCUUGUUGGUGGGGUAGUGGCUUACCAAGGCUUUGACGGGUAGCCGGCCUGAGAGGGUGACCGGCCACAUUGGGACUGAGAUACGGCCCAGACUCCUACGGGAGGCAGCAGUGGGGAAUAUUGCACAAUGGGCGGAAGCCUGAUGCAGCAACGCCACGUGCGGGAUGACGGCCUUCGGGUUGUAAACCGCUUUCGCCUGUGACGAAGCGUGAGUGACGGUAAUGGGUAAAGAAGCACCGGCUAACUACGUG